This 81-nucleotide transfer RNA is filed under the name archaeon. RNAcentral describes it as "tRNA-Ser". It matches the Rfam family "tRNA". Rfam says of the family: Transfer RNA (tRNA) molecules are approximately 80 nucleotides in length. The record is from RNAcentral.
GCCCGUAUCGCAUAGCGGUAUUGCACAUGCUUGGAAAGCAUGGUCCUCCGGGACUCCGAGGUUCGACUCCUCGUGCGGGCG